UACAGAGGGUGCGAGCGUUAAUCGGAAUUACUGGGCGUGAAGCGUGCGUAGACGGUAGCGUAAGUCAGAUGUGAAAGCCCCGGGCUCAACCUGGGAAUUGCAUUUGAGACUGCUCUGCUCGGGUGCGGAAGAGGGAAGCGGAAUUUCCGGUGUAGCGGUGAAAUGCGUAGAUAUCGGAAGGAACACCAGUGGCGAAAGCGGCUUCCUGGUCCGACACCGACGUUCAGGCACGAAAGCGUGGGGAGCAAACAGG
Molecule: ribosomal RNA, 253 nt
Filed under: uncultured bacterium
Lineage: Bacteria
Description: partial 16S ribosomal RNA
Rfam family: Bacterial small subunit ribosomal RNA
Source: RNAcentral